GGUCUGAACAUUAAGAAUACAAUACACAGGCCGGGCGGGGUGUCUAUUUUAACCAAGUCCAGCUCGAGAAUGUGUUCAAAAUGAAGGCAGAGCUGUUAAGGGCCUCAGAGAUCAUCCAAACCCUCCAUUUUACAGAUUGCAAAAUUCAUUAAAUAAAUACAAGAAUGGACUUGACAACAGGGAGACAGACAUCCUUUAACACAUAACAUAACGACUCUGGGACAAAAGAUACUGGACUCAGAUACAAGUUUUUAAUCACCCAUUACAGUUUUUUUGAAUGUAGCAUAUUGAAUAGAAGCAUAAAAAUAAAGCAAAUACCCACAUGCCCAAUGUCAUCAGAGGUUUUUAAUAACUGCCUUGUUCUUCAGUAUUUCACUCAUACUUUAACUUGUACAACACUUUAAAAGUUACACAGAGAAGGGAAAUUAUUUGUCUUUAUCUAUCUUACCUGGGUAUAGAAUCUGACAAAAAUAUUUGUAAUAUUGUUUUCUGUUUUACAUUUUCAAAAGUGGUCAUUAUUACAUUCCCAAUGUUCAAGUCACACAGAGCAAAGUGGGGAUGUUUAAGUAAAGGCCAGAAUGACCUGGAGACCAGGAGAAAAAGGAAGACGAGGAGGUAGAAGUUUCUUCUCUUCCUCUGGCAGAGGGACCUCAGAAGGCUAGUUUGAACCUACGAGUUUGUGCGUUUAUUCAUUUUCUUUCACUUUGUUCUAGACAGAUGACUAAUUUUUCAGCAGAAGUAGCAGCUUGCUAGGAAGCCGUGUAAAACUGGCAGUGGUUGUGGUGGGGACGUGGGUGGGAGGUGGAAGGGGAGAAGGAAGGGGCAGCCUAUGGGAACGUCCAUUUCCUCUUUCUGGUGACGGAGAAGGAGGGAGGAUGCAUCAAAACCUCAGCCUAACCACUCUGGAAAAAGACCCAGUCUUUUAAAACUGUAUUUUUUUUUUCUUCGUACUUGCCUUCCAACAGCACAGCUCUGGUAGGAACAGGGGCAGGCUGGCCCAUAACAAACAUGGUCAACCACUGCAUGCAAAUAC
RNAcentral lists this long non-coding RNA (1033 nucleotides) under Homo sapiens (human). Its description in RNAcentral is "HSALNT0067631". The record is from RNAcentral. Lineage: Eukaryota; Metazoa; Chordata; Mammalia; Primates; Hominidae.